GAUGAACGCUAGCUACAGGCUUAACACAUGCAAGUCGAGGGGAAACGACAUCGAAAGCUUGCUUUUGAUGGGCGUCGACCGGCGCACGGGUGAGUAACGCGUAUCCAACCUGCCCAUCACUUGGGAAUAACCUUGCGAAAGUAAGACUAAUACCCAAUGACAUCCCACGAAGACAUCUGGAUGGGAUUAAAGAUUUAUCGGUGAUGGAUGGGGAUGCGUCUGAUUAGCUUGUUGGCGGGGUAACGGCCCACCAAGGCAACGAUCAGUAGGGGUUCUGAGAGGAAGGUCCCCCACAUUGGAACUGAGACAAGGUCCAAACUCCUACGGGAGGCAGCAGUGAGGAAUAUUGGUCAAUGGGCGAGAGCCUGAACCAGCCAAGUAGCGUGCAGGAUGACGGCCCUAUGGGUUGUAAACUGCUUUUAUAAGGGAAUAAAGUGGGUCUCGUGAGACUUUUUGCAUGUACCUGAUGAAUAAGGACCGGCUAAUUCCGUG
RNAcentral lists this ribosomal RNA (492 nucleotides) under uncultured bacterium. RNAcentral's name for it is "partial 16S ribosomal RNA". It matches the Rfam family "Bacterial small subunit ribosomal RNA", at positions 28 to 507 of the family's 1533-position model. The record is from RNAcentral.